Molecule: ribosomal RNA, 450 nt
Filed under: Rotundopotamonautes subukia
Lineage: Eukaryota; Metazoa; Arthropoda; Malacostraca; Decapoda; Potamonautidae
Description: partial 12S small subunit ribosomal RNA
Source: RNAcentral
AAAAGUGAAAUUUAUUGUUGUUUUAUAAGGAAAAUAAACUAAUAAAGAGGCUAACAAGUCUUUAAAAUAAACUAGGAUUAGAUACCCUAUUAUAUUAAGAUUUAAUAAAAUAAAGCUAGAUUAUUAAUAGAUAUUUUCUUUAAAUUUAAAGAAUUUGGCGGUAGUUUAGUCUGGUCAGAGGAACCUGCUUUUUUAUCGACAUAACACGUAAAAUCUUACUUAAGUUUGUAUACCAUCAUUAUUAGAUGAUUUUUAAAAAAUUAAAUUAUUGAAGAUAAUUAUAUUAAUAAAAUUAGAUCAAGGUGCAGCUUAUAAAUAAGUUAAAGUGGGUUACAAUAAGAUUUACUUAAACGGAAUAAGAUUUAGGAAGGAGGAUUUGAUUGUAAUAUAAAUUUAAUAAAUUUAGGAGAUAAGAGCUCUAAAGUUGUGUACAUAUCGCCCGUCGCUUUC